CAGUAGCCACGGUAAUACGUAGGUCCCGAGCGUUGUCCGGAUUUAUUGGGCGUAAAGCGAGCGCAGGCGGUUAGAUAAGUCUGAAGUUAAAGGCUGUGGCUUAACCAUAGUACGCUUUGGAAACUGUCUAACUUGAGUGCAGAAGGGGAGAGUGGAAUUCCAUGUGUAGCGGUGAAGUGCGUAGAUAUAUGGAGGAACACCGGUGGCGAAAGCGGCUCUCUGGUCUGUAACUGACGCUGAGGCUCGAAAGCGUGGGGAGCGAACAGGAUUAGAUACCCCAGUAGUCCCUGUCUCUUAUACC
This 301-nucleotide ribosomal RNA is filed under the name uncultured bacterium. RNAcentral's name for it is "partial 16S ribosomal RNA". It matches the Rfam family "Bacterial small subunit ribosomal RNA", at positions 509 to 808 of the family's 1533-position model. The record is from RNAcentral.